GAAGUAAAAGUCGUAACAAGGUUUCCGUAGGUGAACCUGCGGAAGGAUCAUUAUUGAAUGAACUUGGUGUGGUUGUUGCUGGCCCUCUCGGGGGCAUGUGCACACCCGCCAUCCUCAUCUCCACCUGUGCACCUCUUGUAGACCUGGAUAGACUUUCCGAGGCAGCUCGGUCGGGAGGAAUGCUGCGCUCUUUGCGUCGGCUUUCUUUGCACUUCCAAGCCUACGUUUUUCAUAUACACCUAGUAUGUAACAGAAUGUAUAAUUUGGGCCUCAGUGCCUAUAUAAACUUUAUACAACUUUCAGCAACGGAUCUCUUGGCUCUCGCAUCGAUGAAGAACGCAGCGAAAUGCGAUAAGUAAUGUGAAUUGCAGAAUUCAGUGAAUCAUCGAAUCUUUGAACGCACCUUGCGCUCCUUGGUAUUCCGAGGAGCAUGCCUGUUUGAGUGUCAUUUAAUUCUCAACCUUUAUUUAUUUAGCUGUUGCUGAUAAAAAAAGGCUUGGACGUGGGGGGUUUUCUUUUGCUGGCUCCUUUAGAGGUCGGCUCCCCUUAAAUGCAUUAGCUGGUGCCCCGCGUGGGACUGUCUAUUGGUGUGAUAAUUAUCUACGCCAUGGAUGUCUGCAAAUGGGUUUGCACUGCUUCUAACCGUCUGUUCCUUAGGACAAUACAUGACAAUUUGACCUCAAAUCAGGUAGGACUACCCGCUGAACUUAAGCAUAUCAUA
This 721-nucleotide ribosomal RNA is filed under the name uncultured Hymenogaster. RNAcentral describes it as "eukaryotic LSU rRNA". The stretch from base 295 to 448 matches the Rfam family "5.8S ribosomal RNA". The record is from RNAcentral. Lineage: Eukaryota; Fungi; Basidiomycota; Agaricomycetes; Agaricales; Hymenogastraceae.